This 301-nucleotide ribosomal RNA is filed under the name uncultured bacterium. RNAcentral describes it as "partial 16S ribosomal RNA". It matches the Rfam family "Bacterial small subunit ribosomal RNA", at positions 509 to 809 of the family's 1533-position model. The record is from RNAcentral.
CAGUCGCCACGGUAAUACGUAGGGUGCAAGCGUUAAUCGGAAUUACUGGGCGUAAAGGGCGCGUAGGCGGUUUGGCAAGUUUGGUGUGAAAUCUUCGGGCUCAACUCGAAGUCUGCAUCGAAAACUGCCGGGCUUGAGUAUGGGAGAGGUGAGUGGAAUUUCCGGUGUAGCGGUGAAAUGCGUAGAUAUCGGAAGGAACACCUGUGGCGAAAGCGGCUCACUGGACCAUUACUGACGCUGAGGCGCGAAAGCUAGGGGAGCAAACAGGAUUAGAGACCCGCGUAGUCCCUGUCUCUUAUAA